RNAcentral lists this long non-coding RNA (509 nucleotides) under Linum usitatissimum (flax). RNAcentral's name for it is "long non-coding RNA (LUSI_LNC007679)". The record is from RNAcentral. Lineage: Eukaryota; Viridiplantae; Streptophyta; Magnoliopsida; Malpighiales; Linaceae.
AUGCUUCUACGCAAUUUGAAUCAUGCAGCUGGUCUUUCCAAAGGUGUCACCUACCGAAAUUCCUAAAACCAAGGGGGCACGUGUCAAAGCUAAGCCCGAUGAAAGGAUGUGGAGAUCGCCAGGAUAAUAGGAAUGGGGAAAGAUUCUCAAUCGUGAAGGCUAGCCUUUCGCUAUGAAAGGUGGGCAGCUUGUCGAUCGACUAGAGAUGCUUCAAUCGGUAGUCUCGGAAAGAAGUAAAAAAGAUGGAUUCUCGGUACCCACUAAGUAUUUAGGGAGGGUGGAUCAGACCACUUCUUAGAGAGUGACGAGGGCUAGUGUGAUGUAAGCUAGCGGAACUCGCGAAAGCGGACACAGGGGCUGAACCAUGUGUGGAUGUCACCUACCGAAAUUCCUAAAACCAAGGGGGCACACGGCUUCUAAUAACACAUCUUGGCACAAAUGUGAUAUGAGGGCUAAUUGUUGGUGGGACCUAUGAAGCUACUAUUGCUAUCAUCCCACAAAUUAUUUUC